RNAcentral lists this transfer RNA (57 nucleotides) under Bombycilla garrulus. Its description in RNAcentral is "tRNA-Pro". It matches the Rfam family "tRNA", at positions 7 to 64 of the family's 71-position model. Rfam says of the family: Transfer RNA (tRNA) molecules are approximately 80 nucleotides in length. Their secondary structure includes four short double-helical elements and three loops (D, anti-codon, and T loops). Lineage: Eukaryota; Metazoa; Chordata; Aves; Passeriformes; Bombycillidae. The record is from RNAcentral.
GUAGUUUAGUUGAAAAUGCCAGCUUUGGGAGUUGGUGAUAAGGGUUUGACUCCUUUC